Armigeres subalbatus is the source of this 838-nucleotide long non-coding RNA. RefSeq lists it as uncharacterized. Lineage: Eukaryota; Metazoa; Arthropoda; Insecta; Diptera; Culicidae. The transcript has 3 exons. The record is from RefSeq and is a predicted model, not a curated record.
AAAAAAAUAGAUUUCUUUAAGGCCUGUGAAAGUGGUCAGGGCAGUGCUAAGAAAAGUUGUUGAAAUUCCGGACCGUUUCGUGUCUGGUAGGCGGCAUCGUUCCGUCUCAGUGUCCGCGGGUGGAAUCGCGAUUUGUGACGCGGACACAGGUGAGAGAAUCCUGCCUUUUCUGGUUUAUGCUGCUGCAAAUUCUCGGAAUACGGCACAACGCAGCCGCAGGAAGAAGAGGCAACGCGCGCGAGUUUGAUUCAUCCACAGCGCAACAGGAAUCACGGAAGAGCGUGCCAAUUAUUGUUACUCCGAAGCUGACGAAGAUCGAGCACCUGGUGGUGUGACUGGUGAGAGGACAGGCUAAAACGCUGAUCAGAUUGAGCGGAAAUACCCCACUGGGGUUUUUCCGUGGAGCCAAUUUCCAUCAUCGAGGUCCGGGAGGAUCGUGAUCGAGGCAGCGGUGCGACAAGGCGACGGGCGGAUUGCCGAUUCAUCGAGUGUGUUUCACUCGGCCGGCAGGACCAAGUCGGAGGAGAUUCGUUCGGGAACAAGCAGCCCUUCAGUGGAUCACUCGGAGGGACCCCAUCCAGUUACCAGGUCGCACUGGACGGCCAGAGGGGACUCCAGCGGAGUGAUUGCGAUGCGUGCGGGGGACCAGGAGCGAAUGUGGCAGCAGAAAAAUCGUGGCGAUGAGAAGUCCGCCAAGAAGGUAGUGUAGGGGGACGCCCCGAACACAAGGAGAAGGUACACAGAGUACAAGAAGAAACCGUGAGUAACCAAACCAAUGUCUAACUAGUAAGAAGAUGUAAAAGGAGAAGCAUAGAGAAAUCAGGGACAGGUAGGAAGA